CAGUAGCCGCGGUAAUACGAAGGGUGCAAGCGUUACUCGGAAUUACUGGGCGUAAAGGGUGCGUAGGUGGUUUUUUAAGUCCGUUGUGAAAUCCCUGGGCUCAACCUGGGAAUGGCAGUGGAUACUGGAAAGCUAGAGUGCGGUAGAGGGUAGUGGAAUUCCCGGUGUAGCAGUGAAAUGCGUAGAGAUCGGGAGGAACACCAGUGGCGAAGGCGGCUACCUGGACCAGCACUGACACUGAAGCACGAAAGCGUGGGGAGCAAACAGGAUUAGAUACCCCUGUAGUCCCUGUCUCUUAUAC
Molecule: ribosomal RNA, 301 nt
Filed under: uncultured bacterium
Lineage: Bacteria
Description: partial 16S ribosomal RNA
Rfam family: Bacterial small subunit ribosomal RNA
Source: RNAcentral